RNAcentral lists this ribosomal RNA (543 nucleotides) under uncultured bacterium. RNAcentral's name for it is "bacterial SSU rRNA". It matches the Rfam family "Bacterial small subunit ribosomal RNA", at positions 777 to 1319 of the family's 1533-position model. The record is from RNAcentral.
AAUAGAUACCCGGGUAGUCCACGCCGUAAACGUUGGAUACUAGGUGUGGCGGUUAUACCAAUGACUGCCGUGCCGAAGCUAACGCAUUAAGUAUCCCGCCUGGGGAGUACGGCCGCAAGGCUAAAACUCAAAGGAAUUGACGGGUCCCCGCACAAGCGGCGGAGCAUGCGGCUUAAUUCGAUGCAACCCGAAGAACCUUACCUGGGUUUGACAUCACGGGAAAAGCUGUAGAAAUACAGUGUCCAUUAGGGCCCGUGACAGGUGGUGCAUGGCUGUCGUCAGCUCGCGUCGUGAGAUGUCGCGUUAAGUCGCUUAACGAGCGAAACCCUUGUCCUUAGUUGCCAGCGGGUCAUGCCGGGGACUCUAAGGAGACUGCCGGUGUUAAACCGGAGGAAGGUGGGGAUGACGUCAAGUCCUCAUGGCCUUUAUGACUAGGGCUGCACACGUCCUACAAUGGCGCGCACAAAGGGAAGCAAACUCGCGAGAGCCAGCAAAUCCCAAAAAACGCGCCUCAGUUCGGAUUGCGGGCUGCAACUCGCCCGC